GCAUAUCAAUAAGCGGAGGAAAAGAAACCAACAGGGAUUGCCCUAGUAACGGCGAGUGAAGCGGCAACAGCUCAAAUUUGAAAUCUGGCUCUUUCAGAGUCCGAGUUGUAAUUUGCAGAGGGCGCUUUGGCUUUGGCAGCGGUCCAAGUUCCUUGGAACAGGACGUCACAGAGGGUGAGAAUCCCGUACGUGGUCGCUAGCUAUUGCCGUGUAAAGCCCCUUCGACGAGUCGAGUUGUUUGGGAAUGCAGCUCUAAAUGGGAGGUAAAUUUCUUCUAAAGCUAAAUAUUGGCCAGAGACCGAUAGCGCACAAGUAGAGUGAUCGAAAGAUGAAAAGCACUUUGGAAAGAGAGUCAAACAGCACGUGAAAUUGUUGAAAGGGAAGCGCUUGCAGCCAGACUUGCUUGCAGUUGCUCAUCCGGGCUUUUGCCCGGUGCACUCUUCUGUAGGCAGGCCAGCAUCAGUUUGGGCGGUGGGAUAAAGGUCUCUGUCACGUACCUCUCUUCGGGGAGGCCUUAUAGGGGAGACGACAUACCACCAGCCUAGACUGAGGUCCGCGCAUCUGCUAGGAUGCUGGCGUAAUGGCUGUAAGCGGCCCGUCUUGAAACACGGACCAAGGAGUCUAACAUCUAUGCGAGUGUUUGGGUGUCAAGCCCGAGCGCGUAAUGAAAGUGAACGGAGGUGGGAACCCGCAAGGGUGCACCAUCGACCGAUCCUGAAGUUUACGGAAGGAUUUGAGUAAGAGCAUGGCUGUUGGGACCCGAAAGAUGGUGAACUAUGCUUGAAUAGGGUGAAGCCAGAGGAAACUCUGGUGGAGGCUCGCAGCGGUUCUGACGUGCAAAUCGAUCGUCAAAUUUGGGCAUAGGGGCGAAAGACUAAUCGAACUAUCUAGUAGCUGGUUCUGC
RNAcentral lists this ribosomal RNA (904 nucleotides) under Bipolaris yamadae. Its description in RNAcentral is "LSU rRNA". It matches the Rfam family "Eukaryotic large subunit ribosomal RNA", at positions 38 to 960 of the family's 3401-position model. Lineage: Eukaryota; Fungi; Ascomycota; Dothideomycetes; Pleosporales; Pleosporaceae. The record is from RNAcentral.